This 253-nucleotide ribosomal RNA is filed under the name uncultured bacterium. RNAcentral's name for it is "partial 16S ribosomal RNA". It matches the Rfam family "Bacterial small subunit ribosomal RNA", at positions 524 to 776 of the family's 1533-position model. The record is from RNAcentral.
UACGUAGGGCGCAAGCGUUGUCCGGAAUUAUUGGGCGUAAAGAGCUCGUAGGCGGUCUGUCGCGUCGGAUGUGAAAAUCCAGGGCUCAACCCUGGACCUGCAUUCGAUACGGGCAGACUAGAGUUCGGCAGGGGAGACUGGAAUUCCUGGUGUAGCGGUGAAAUGCGCAGAUAUCAGGAGGAACACCGGUGGCGAAGGCGGUUCUCUGGGCCUUACCUGACGCUGAGGAGCGAAAGCGUGGGGAGCGAACAGG